RNAcentral lists this ribosomal RNA (483 nucleotides) under uncultured bacterium. RNAcentral's name for it is "bacterial SSU rRNA". It matches the Rfam family "Bacterial small subunit ribosomal RNA", at positions 30 to 502 of the family's 1533-position model. The record is from RNAcentral.
AUUGAACGCUGGCGGCAUGCCUAACACAUGCAAGUCGAACGGCAGCACGGGAGCUUGCUCCUGGUGGCGAGUGGCGGACGGGUGAGUAAUGCAUAGGAGUCUGCCCAGUAGCGGGGGACAACUUGGGGAAACUCAAGCUAAUACCGCAUGCGCCCUACGGGGGGAAAGCGGGGGACCUUCGGGCCUCGCACUAUUGGAUGAGCCUAUGUCAGAUUAGCUUGUUGGUGGGGUAACGGCCUACCAAGGCGACGAUCUGUAGCUGGUCUGAGAGGACGAUCAGCCACACUGGGACUGAGACACGGCCCAGACUCCUACGGGAGGCAGCAGUGGGGAAUAUUGCACAAUGGGCGAAAGCCUGAUGCAGCAAUGCCGCGUGUGUGAAGAAGGCCUGCGGGUUGUAAAGCACUUUCAGUAGGGAGGAAACAGUAGCCGGUUAAUAUCCGGUUGCCUUGACGUUACCUACAGAAGAAGCACCGGCUAACU